Long non-coding RNA from Quercus lobata, 547 nucleotides. RefSeq lists it as uncharacterized. The record is from RefSeq and is a predicted model, not a curated record. The transcript is spliced from 2 exons. Lineage: Eukaryota; Viridiplantae; Streptophyta; Magnoliopsida; Fagales; Fagaceae.
AUGUGUGACAGAAACACUCAUACCUUUCUCGGCCUUUUGGCUAAGAUCAAGUGUAGUAUCUGUUCUUAUCAGUUUAAUAUCUGAUAUGUGGGUCAUCGGCCCACACGAUAUUAAAUUUAUUUCUUGAGGGGAAGAGCCCACCACAGUAGCUUGCUACUGGGGCUCUCAAGCGUCGCCCAUGCGUUGCACUACUGCACAGGCCUGGCGCACCCCACCCAAUUCUAGUACGAAGCUUCACAUGUUUGCUUAAUUUAUGUGGAUGACCGAAAUCUUCUGUAUGUUUUCUAAAGCCAUCAAGGUUUCUCCAUGUUUUCUAAGCCAUUAAGCUGCAGUCAGAUGCUUUCUGUAUGUUAAUCACAGCUGAAUUAAAAGUCUAGAAUAAAGCAUCCAACCAUGUCAAAUGAUCCAUGAACAGUUAUGUGAAGUGUCGGCCAAUUAUUUCACUCACAAUGUGAAGCAUUAUUGUACCAGUUUGUGCGUGCAAGAAGACUAAUCAGAGCCUUUCCUAGUAUUAUAUAGAAGAGGAAGAGUGUUUGCUCAAAAAAAA